RNAcentral lists this ribosomal RNA (468 nucleotides) under uncultured bacterium. RNAcentral describes it as "partial 16S ribosomal RNA". It matches the Rfam family "Bacterial small subunit ribosomal RNA", at positions 28 to 507 of the family's 1533-position model. The record is from RNAcentral.
GACGAACGCUGGCGGCGUGCUUAACACAUGCAAGUCGAACGGAAAGGCCCUGCUUUUGUGGGGUGCUCGAGUGGCGAACGGGUGAGUAACACGUGAGUAACCUGCCCUUGACUUUGGGAUAACUUCAGGAAACUGGGGCUAAUACCGGAUAGGAGCUCCUGCUGCAUGGUGGGGGUUGGAAAGUUUCGGCGGUUGGGGAUGGACUCGCGGCUUUUCAGCUUGUUGGUGGGGUAGUGGCUUACCAAGGCUUUGACGGGUAGCCGGCCUGAGAGGGUGACCGGCCACAUUGGGACUGAGAUACGGCCCAGACUCCUACGGGAGGCAGCAGUGGGGAAGAUUGCACAAUGGGCGGAAGCCUGAUGCAGCAACGCCGCGUGCGGGAUGACGGCCUUCGGGUUGUAAACCGCUUUCGCCUGUGACGAAGCGUGAGUGACGGUAAUGGGUAAAGAAGCACCGGCUAACUACGUG